This 449-nucleotide small RNA is filed under the name Pongo abelii (Sumatran orangutan). Its description in RNAcentral is "processed transcript". Lineage: Eukaryota; Metazoa; Chordata; Mammalia; Primates; Hominidae. The record is from RNAcentral.
UGGAGAGCAGUACUUAGAGUUAUAUAAACCACUUCCCAGAGAAGGAAAAUUAAAGUGUGAAGCAGUUGUUGCUGAUGUCCUAGAUAAAGGAUCCGGUGUAGUGAUUAUUAUGGAUGUCUAUUCUUAUUCUGAGAAGGAGCUUAUAUGCCACAAUCAGUUCUCUCUCUUUCUUGUUGGCUCUGGAGGCUUUGGUGGAAAACGGACAUCAGACAAAGUCAAGGUAGCUGUAGCCAUACCUAAUAGACCUCCUGAUGCUGUACUUACAGAUACCACCUCUCUUAAUCAGGCUGCUUUGUACCGCCUCAGUGGAGACUGGAAUCCCUUACACAUUGAUCCUAACUUUGCUAGUCUAGCAGGUUUUGAGAAGCCCAUAUUACAUGGAUUAUGUACAUUUGGAUUUUCUGCCAGGCAUGUUUUACAGCAGUUUGCAGAUAAUGAUGUAUCAAGAU